AAUCAACGCUGGCGGCGUGCCUCAGACAUGCAAGUCGAACGAUUAAAGCUCUCUUCGGAGAGUGUAUAGAGUGGCGCACGGGUGAGUAACACGUAAGUAAUCUACCUUCGAGUGGGGAAUAACGUCCGGAAACGGACGCUAAUACCGCAUAAUGCAGCGGCAUCGCAAGAUGACAGUUGUUAAAGAUUUAUCGCUUGAAGAGGAGCUUGCGGCAGAUAGCUAGUUGGUAAGGUAAUGGCUUACCAAGGCUACGAUCUGUAACCGGUCUAAGAGGACGGUCGGUCACACUGACACUGAAUAACGGGUCAGACUCCUACGGAGGCAGCAGUCGGGAAUUUUGGGCAAUGGGCGAAAGCCUGACCCAGCAACGCCGCGUGAAGGAUGAAGUAUUUCGGU
Molecule: ribosomal RNA, 396 nt
Filed under: uncultured bacterium
Lineage: Bacteria
Description: bacterial SSU rRNA
Rfam family: Bacterial small subunit ribosomal RNA
Source: RNAcentral